GGCCGCGGCGACCUUAUAUACUGCGGCUCGAGCAUGCGCCACCUUGUGGUCAGUACGAGAUGGCAGUACGAGAUGGCCGAUAGAAAGGCAACCGGCUAAGUAUCCCAGCAAUUAUGCCAUGGUAUAGGAUGAUUAUGCUUGAAUUAUGGUUGCUGUAUUGGUGAACCACACGAUAGCAGACUAAAAAAGAUCGUUUCCUUUGUAAACAUUUCGUGUGCUGCAAAGAACAGAGCAGGCAGCAUCCCAAUCCAUCAGCUUCAUGUUAUACGGCCUCAAAGCUUGUAUAUACCAGACCAGAAGGUAUUCCUCCAAUACCUAAUCAUUAUAAAGACUGAGAAAAUGCUAGCCAGAAGCAGAAAAGGCAUUAUUGCCCUCGAUUGUACUACAUGCUCUUUCUUGGAUUGUUUGUUUUCAUUAGUUAACUCGUUGGCUGCCUCCAGUCUAAAAAUUUGGUCUCGUUGCCAAUUUAGUUUUGGCACCAUACUUUCCUGCCAGAAGCCAUUCUAUAGUGAUCUGUUGGAGGAGGUUGAUCCAAAAUAUUCAAAUUCACCGGCCGAUUUGCACGAAAUGUGGUAACCCCUUUUUGGAGAUCGAGAGCCUUGCUGUGCUUAUGCAAAUGUUACAGUUCUGUUGAUCGUUCGACAUUCCAAGGUCUUUUUUCGGGACAGGCUAAAAGGAAGUGUGUGGCACUGGCAAAUGAUGCCAGAUUAUGACAAACAAAUCAAGCCUAGACGCACAUUUAUUCCACACCCAUCUCCUUAUCCUUCGUGAUCAGAUUACUCCUUUUCAAAUCGACUUUGUCGGCAAGAAAAUCAGUCUGGAUUUCAGUUAAAACAAAAAUUAGGACGAAUCUUCAACACUCCAUUUGUUACGUCCCUGAACUCGAGAGUUUACCGCUUCUGUGCUGUUAAAAAGCCGUGGUAUUGUUUUCGACACAACAGCUUUGUUCUUUGAUCAUUGAUGUUAUUUUGUGUGAUUUUGCGGUAUGAUUGUUAUGCUUUGGUUCCAAUAAAU
This is a long non-coding RNA of Daphnia pulicaria, 1014 nucleotides long. RefSeq lists it as uncharacterized. NCBI's taxonomy places the organism in Eukaryota, Metazoa, Arthropoda, Branchiopoda, Diplostraca, Daphniidae. The record is from RefSeq and is a predicted model, not a curated record. The transcript has 8 exons.